Molecule: unclassified non-coding RNA, 323 nt
Filed under: soil metagenome
Description: partial contains 5.8S ribosomal RNA, internal transcribed spacer 2, and large subunit ribosomal RNA
Rfam family: 5.8S ribosomal RNA (bases 2-121)
Source: RNAcentral
GGAUGAAGAACGUAGCGAAAUGCGAUAAGUAAUGUGAAUUGCAGAAUUUAGUGAAUCAUCGAAUCUUUGAACGCACAUUGCGCCCUUUGGUAUUCCGAGGGGCACACCUGUUCGAGCGCCGUGUAAAAUCUAAGGCCCAGCCUUGCGUUGGUGGCUACCGUCUUUCGGGCGGUACCCCCAAAACUUCCGGGCGUCCGUCUCCCAGCCGGCUAUGCGCAAAAGCACGUGCCGCGCUAGGGGGUGGGCCGCCAAUUACACAGUACGUUUGGCCUCGGAUCAGGUGGGGAUACCCGCUGAACUUAAGCAUAUCAAUAAGCGGAGGA